This 478-nucleotide ribosomal RNA is filed under the name uncultured bacterium. RNAcentral describes it as "partial 16S ribosomal RNA". It matches the Rfam family "Bacterial small subunit ribosomal RNA", at positions 29 to 507 of the family's 1533-position model. The record is from RNAcentral.
ACGCACGCUGGCGGCGUGCUUAACACAUGCAAGUCGAACGAAGCUUGCUUACGGAUUCUUCGGAUGAAGUAUGAUAUGACUGAGUGGCGGACGGGUGAGUAACGCGUGAGUAACCUGCCCUUCAGAGGGGGAUAGCGUUUGGAAACGAACGGUAAUACCGCAUAAUGUAUUUUGACCGCAUGAUCGAAAUACCAAAGAUUUAUCGCUGAAGGAUGGACUCGCGUCUGAUUAGGUAGUUGGUGGGGGAACGGCCUGCCAAGCCGACGAUCAGUAGCCGGACUGAGAGGUUGAUCGGCCACAUUGGGACUGAGACACGGCCCAGACUCCUACGGGAGGCAGCAGUGGGGAAUAUUGCACAAUGGGCGCAAGCCUGAUGCAGCAACGCCGCGUGAAGGAAGACGGUUUUCGGAUUGUAAACUUCUGUUCUUAGUGAAGAAUAAUGACGGUAGCUAAGGAGCAAGCCACGGCUAACUACGUG